This 625-nucleotide ribosomal RNA is filed under the name Tetragnatha maxillosa. Its description in RNAcentral is "bacterial SSU rRNA". It matches the Rfam family "Eukaryotic small subunit ribosomal RNA", at positions 1146 to 1798 of the family's 1831-position model. The record is from RNAcentral. Lineage: Eukaryota; Metazoa; Arthropoda; Arachnida; Araneae; Tetragnathidae.
AGCUGAAACUUAAAGGAAUUGACGGAAGCGCACACAAGAAAUGGGGCCUGCGGCUUAAUUUGACUCAACACGGUGCAACUCACCCGGCCCGGACACAGGAAGGAUUGACAGAUUAAGAGCUCUUUCUUGAUUCUGUGACAGGUGGUGCAUGGCCGUUUCUAGUUGGUGGAGUGAUUUGUCUGCUUUAUUGCGAUAACGAGCGAGACUCUAGCCUACUAAAUAGACUCUCCGUCUUCUUUCGCGGAGAGGUCUUCUUAGAGGGACAAGCGGUGUUCAGCCGCACGAAACUGAGCAAAAACAGGUCAGGAUGCCCUUAGAUGUUCGGGGCCGCACGCGCGCCACAUUGAAGGAAUCAGCGUGUGCUUUCCCUCUCCGAUAGGAGUGGGUAACCCGUUGAAACUCCUUCGUGCUAGGGAUAGGAAAUUGUAAUUGUUUUCCUUGAACGAGGAAUUCCCAGUAAGCAUUGAGUCAUCAGCUCGUGUUGAUUACGUCCCUGCGCUUUGUGCACACCGCCCGUCGCUAUUAUCGAUGAAUUUUGGAGUGAGAUCAUCGGACUGGCUAAGUURCUKRAWCAUYUAUGUUUUGGUGACUGUGUUGGAAAGAUGACCGAACUUGAAUAUUAGAG